This 2900-nucleotide ribosomal RNA is filed under the name Klebsiella quasipneumoniae. RNAcentral's name for it is "bacterial LSU rRNA". It matches the Rfam family "Bacterial large subunit ribosomal RNA". The record is from RNAcentral. Lineage: Bacteria; Pseudomonadati; Pseudomonadota; Gammaproteobacteria; Enterobacterales; Enterobacteriaceae.
UUAAGCGACUAAGCGUACACGGUGGAUGCCCUGGCAGUCAGAGGCGAUGAAGGACGUGCUAAUCUGCGAAAAGCGUCGGUAAGGUGAUAUGAACCGUUAUAACCGGCGAUGUCCGAAUGGGGAAACCCAGUGUGAUUCGUCACACUAUCGUUAACUGAAUACAUAGGUUAACGAGGCGAACCGGGGGAACUGAAACAUCUAAGUACCCCGAGGAAAAGAAAUCAACCGAGAUUCCCCCAGUAGCGGCGAGCGAACGGGGAGCAGCCCAGAGUCUGAAUCAGCUUGUGUGUUAGUGGAACGGUCUGGAAAGUCCGACGGUACAGGGUGAUAGUCCCGUACACCAAAAUGCACAGGCUGUGAACUCGAAGAGUAGGGCGGGACACGUGGUAUCCUGUCUGAAUAUGGGGGGACCAUCCUCCAAGGCUAAAUACUCCUGACUGACCGAUAGUGAACCAGUACCGUGAGGGAAAGGCGAAAAGAACCCCGGCGAGGGGAGUGAAAAAGAACCUGAAACCGUGUACGUACAAGCAGUGGGAGCACCUUCGGGUGUGACUGCGUACCUUUUGUAUAAUGGGUCAGCGACUUAUAUUCUGUAGCAAGGUUAACCGUAUAGGGGAGCCGCAGGGAAACCGAGUCUUAACUGGGCGUUAAGUUGCAGGGUAUAGACCCGAAACCCGGUGAUCUAGCCAUGGGCAGGUUGAAGGUUGGGUAACACUAACUGGAGGACCGAACCGACUAAUGUUGAAAAAUUAGCGGAUGACUUGUGGCUGGGGGUGAAAGGCCAAUCAAACCGGGAGAUAGCUGGUUCUCCCCGAAAGCUAUUUAGGUAGCGCCUCGUGAACUCAUCUUCGGGGGUAGAGCACUGUUUCGGCUAGGGGGUCAUCCCGACUUACCAACCCGAUGCAAACUACGAAUACCGAAGAAUGUUAUCACGGGAGACACACGGCGGGUGCUAACGUCCGUCGUGAAGAGGGAAACAACCCAGACCGCCAGCUAAGGUCCCAAAGUCAUGGUUAAGUGGGAAACGAUGUGGGAAGGCACAGACAGCCAGGAUGUUGGCUUAGAAGCAGCCAUCAUUUAAAGAAAGCGUAAUAGCUCACUGGUCGAGUCGGCCUGCGCGGAAGAUGUAACGGGGCUAAACCAUGCACCGAAGCUGCGGCAGCGACACUAUGUGUUGUUGGGUAGGGGAGCGUUCUGUAAGCCUGCGAAGGUGACCUGUGAGGGUUGCUGGAGGUAUCAGAAGUGCGAAUGCUGACAUAAGUAACGAUAAAGCGGGUGAAAAGCCCGCUCGCCGGAAGACCAAGGGUUCCUGUCCAACGUUAAUCGGGGCAGGGUGAGUCGACCCCUAAGGCGAGGCCGAAAGGCGUAGUCGAUGGGAAACAGGUUAAUAUUCCUGUACUUGGUGUUACUGCGAAGGGGGGACGGAGAAGGCUAUGUUAGCCGGGCGACGGUUGUCCCGGUUUAAGCAUGUAGGCUGAUUAUCCAGGCAAAUCCGGAUAAUCAAGGCUGAGGUGUGAUGACGAGGCACUACGGUGCUGAAGUAACAAAUGCCCUGCUUCCAGGAAAAGCCUCUAAGCAUCAGGUAACAUCAAAUCGUACCCCAAACCGACACAGGUGGUCAGGUAGAGAAUACCAAGGCGCUUGAGAGAACUCGGGUGAAGGAACUAGGCAAAAUGGUGCCGUAACUUCGGGAGAAGGCACGCUGGUGUGUAGGUGAAGUCCCUGCGGAUGGAGCUGAGACCAGUCGAAGAUACCAGCUGGCUGCAACUGUUUAUUAAAAACACAGCACUGUGCAAACACGAAAGUGGACGUAUACGGUGUGACGCCUGCCCGGUGCCGGAAGGUUAAUUGAUGGGGUUAUCCGUAAGGAGAAGCUCUUGAUCGAAGCCCCGGUAAACGGCGGCCGUAACUAUAACGGUCCUAAGGUAGCGAAAUUCCUUGUCGGGUAAGUUCCGACCUGCACGAAUGGCGUAAUGAUGGCCAGGCUGUCUCCACCCGAGACUCAGUGAAAUUGAACUCGCUGUGAAGAUGCAGUGUACCCGCGGCAAGACGGAAAGACCCCGUGAACCUUUACUAUAGCUUGACACUGAACAUUGAGCCUUGAUGUGUAGGAUAGGUGGGAGGCUUUGAAGCGUGGACGCCAGUCUGCGUGGAGCCAACCUUGAAAUACCACCCUUUAAUGUUUGAUGUUCUAACGUUGGCCCCUGACCGGGGUUGCGGACAGUGUCUGGUGGGUAGUUUGACUGGGGCGGUCUCCUCCCAAAGCGUAACGGAGGAGCACGAAGGUUAGCUAAUCCUGGUCGGACAUCAGGAGGUUAGUGCAAUGGCAUAAGCUAGCUUGACUGCGAGCGUGACGGCGCGAGCAGGUGCGAAAGCAGGUCAUAGUGAUCCGGUGGUUCUGAAUGGAAGGGCCAUCGCUCAACGGAUAAAAGGUACUCCGGGGAUAACAGGCUGAUACCGCCCAAGAGUUCAUAUCGACGGCGGUGUUUGGCACCUCGAUGUCGGCUCAUCACAUCCUGGGGCUGAAGUAGGUCCCAAGGGUAUGGCUGUUCGCCAUUUAAAGUGGUACGCGAGCUGGGUUUAGAACGUCGUGAGACAGUUCGGUCCCUAUCUGCCGUGGGCGCUGGAGAAUUGAGGGGGGCUGCUCCUAGUACGAGAGGACCGGAGUGGACGCAUCACUGGUGUUCGGGUUGUCAUGCCAAUGGCACUGCCCGGUAGCUAAAUGCGGAAGAGAUAAGUGCUGAAAGCAUCUAAGCACGAAACUUGCCCCGAGAUGAGUUCUCCCUGAGACUUUAAGUCUCCUGAAGGAACGUUAAAGACGAUGACGUUGAUAGGCCGGGUGUGUAAGCGCAGCGAUGCGUUGAGCUAACCGGUACUAAUGAACCGUGAGGCUUAACCUU